UAAGUGACUAAGCGUACACGGUGGAUGCCUUGGCAGUCAGAGGCGAUGAAAGACGUAGUAACUUGCGAUAAGCCCAGAUUAGGUAGUAACAACCAUUUGAGUCUGGGAUUUCUGAAUGGGGAAACCCACGUGCAUAAGCACGUAUCCUUACCUGAAUACAUAGGGUAAGGAGGCGAACCGGGGGAACUGAAACAUCUAAGUACCCCGAGGAAAAGAAAUCAACCGAGAUUCCGAAAGUAGCGGCGAGCGAAAUUGGACUAGCCCUUAAGCUUUACACGUGUUAGACGAACGGUCUGGAAAGUCCGACGAUACAGGGUGAUAGUCCCGUAGUUGACGACGUGUGUUCAGUGAAAUCGAGUAGGGCGGGACACGUGAUAUCCUGUCUGAAUAUGGGGGGACCAUCCUCCAAGGCUAAAUACUACUGACUGACCGAUAGUGAACCAGUACCGUGAGGGAAAGGCGAAAAGAACCCCUGUGAGGGGAGUGAAAUAGAACCUGAAACCGUGUACGUACAAGCAGUAGGAGCAGGCUUUGUCCUGUGACUGCGUACCUUUUGUAUAAUGGGUCAGCGACUUAUAUUCAGUGGCAAGGUUAACCAUCUAGGGGAGCCGUAGGGAAACCGAGUCUUAACUGGGCGUUCAGUCUCUGGAUAUAGACCCGAAACCAGGUGAUCUAGCCAUGGGCAGGUUGAAGGUUGAGUAACAUCAACUGGAGGACCGAACCGACUAAUGUUGAAAAAUUAGCGGAUGACUUGUGGCUAGGGGUGAAAGGCCAAUCAAACCUGGAGAUAGCUGGUUCUCCCCGAAAGCUAUUUAGGUAGCGCCUCGGACGAAUACUACUGGGGGUAGAGCACUGUUAAGGCUAGGGGGUCAUCCCGACUUACCAACCCUUUGCAAACUCCGAAUACCAGUAAGUACUAUCCGGGAGACACACGGCGGGUGCUAACGUCCGUCGUGGAGAGGGAAACAACCCAGACCGCCAGCUAAGGUCCCAAAUUACUACUAAGUGGGAAACGAUGUGGGAAGGCUCAGACAGCCAGGAUGUUGGCUUAGAAGCAGCCAUCAUUUAAAGAAAGCGUAAUAGCUCACUGGUCGAGUCGGCCUGCGCGGAAGAUGUAACGGGGCUAAGUAGUAAACCGAAGCUGCGGCAAUGUGCUUUUGCACAUUGGGUAGGGGAGCGUUCUGUAAGCGGUUGAAGGUGUGUGGUAACGCAUGCUGGACGUAUCAGAAGUGCGAAUGCUGACAUGAGUAACGAUAAAGGGGGUGAAAAACCUCCUCGCCGGAAGACCAAGGGUUCCUGUCCAACGUUAAUCGGGGCAGGGUAAGUCGACCCCUAAGGCGAGGCCGAAAGGCGUAGUCGAUGGGAAACGGGUUAAUAUUCCCGUACUUCUUACAAUUGCGAUGGGGGGACGGAGAAGGCUAGGUGGGCCUGGCGACGGUUGUCCAGGUUCAAGUGCGUAGGCUUGAGAGUUAGGUAAAUCCGGCUCUUUUUAAGGCUGAGACACGACGUCGAGCCACUACGGUGGUGAAGUCAUUGAUGCCAUGCUUCCAGGAAAAGCCUCUAAGCUUCAGAUUGUAAGGAAUCGUACCCCAAACCGACACAGGUGGUCGGGUAGAGAAUACCAAGGCGCUUGAGAGAACUCGGGUGAAGGAACUAGGCAAAAUGGUACCGUAACUUCGGGAGAAGGUACGCUCUCGACGGUGAAGUCCCUCGCGGAUGGAGCUAUUGAGAGUCGCAGAUACCAGGUGGCUGCAACUGUUUAUUAAAAACACAGCACUGUGCAAAAUCGUAAGAUGACGUAUACGGUGUGACGCCUGCCCGGUGCCGGAAGGUUAAUUGAUGGGGUUAGACUUCGGUCGAAGCUCUUGAUCGAAGCCCCGGUAAACGGCGGCCGUAACUAUAACGGUCCUAAGGUAGCGAAAUUCCUUGUCGGGUAAGUUCCGACCUGCACGAAUGGCGUAAUGAUGGCCACGCUGUCUCCACCCGAGACUCAGUGAAAUUGAAAUCGCUGUGAAGAUGCAGUGUACCCGCGGCUAGACGGAAAGACCCCGUGAACCUUUACUACAGCUUGGCACUGAACAUUGACCCUACAUGUGUAGGAUAGGUGGGAGGCUUUGAAGCACGUACGCCAGUAUGUGUGGAGCCGUCCUUGAAAUACCACCCUUGUAGUGUUGAUGUUCUAACGUCGACCCCUUAUCGGGGUUGCGGACAGUGCCUGGUGGGUAGUUUGACUGGGGCGGUCUCCUCCCAAAGAGUAACGGAGGAGCACGAAGGUGGGCUAAUCACGGUUGGACAUCGUGAGGUUAGUGCAAUGGCAUAAGCCCGCUUGACUGCGAGAAUGACAAUUCGAGCAGGUGCGAAAGCAGGUCAUAGUGAUCCGGUGGUUCUGAAUGGAAGGGCCAUCGCUCAACGGAUAAAAGGUACUCCGGGGAUAACAGGCUGAUACCGCCCAAGAGUUCAUAUCGACGGCGGUGUUUGGCACCUCGAUGUCGGCUCAUCACAUCCUGGGGCUGAAGUCGGUCCCAAGGGUAUGGCUGUUCGCCAUUUAAAGUGGUACGCGAGCUGGGUUUAGAACGUCGUGAGACAGUUCGGUCCCUAUCUGCCGUGGGCGUUGGAAGAUUGAAGGGGGCUGCUCCUAGUACGAGAGGACCGGAGUGGACGAACCUCUGGUGUUCGGGUUGUGUCGCCAGACGCAUUGCCCGGUAGCUAAGUUCGGAAUCGAUAACCGCUGAAAGCAUCUAAGCGGGAAGCGAGCCCUGAGAUGAGUCUUCCCUGAUACUUUAAGUAUCCUAAAGGGUUGUCGGAGACUACGACGUUGAUAGGUCAGGUGUGUAAGUGCUGUGAGGCAUUGAGCUAACUGAUACUAAUUGCCCGUGAGGCUUAACCA
This 2887-nucleotide ribosomal RNA is filed under the name Vibrio parahaemolyticus VP232. Its description in RNAcentral is "bacterial LSU rRNA". It matches the Rfam family "Bacterial large subunit ribosomal RNA". Lineage: Bacteria; Pseudomonadati; Pseudomonadota; Gammaproteobacteria; Vibrionales; Vibrionaceae. The record is from RNAcentral. RNAcentral also lists the same sequence under 1 other name.